AAUAAAUAAAUCUCUAUACGAUUUCUUCACUCGCGGCUAGCCUUCUCAGUUUCUUCCUUUUCACACUCUCAUAUUGUUUACAAUCGCAUCCUCUCCGUUUCUCCGCCGUCGUCAAGUUAUAUGCCGUAGCUAUUCCGUCCGUUUUCCGCUGUCGUUUUUUCCAAUUCCUCCCUGCUCGCACCUUUAGAAGCCGCUCCUUCCUUUACCGUUCGAUAUUUAAUGACCAGUCAAUAUGUGAAAAAGAUGCAAUUGAAAAUAUCAAACAACUUUGAGUUCAAUUCUUUUUACAAAUUGUUUAGAGCAACAAAAAAGACAUUGCUCUAACAACAAAAUAAAGAGAAAGAUUCAGACAUUGCUCUAACAACAGAAUGAAGAGAAAGGUUCAGGUACGACAAAACAAUGUCAAUUAAGAAAAACCUACUUAUAUUGUUGAAUAUAUAUGUAGCAUAAUUUGUGUAUGAAAUGUGAAUUUAUGAGCACAUUUGAUGCUAAUUGUUGUCAAAGUUUGGUUUUUCUGGGUAGGAAUAAUAUAAGCAAGCUAUUCGGUUUUCCAUAAUGUAAGAUGUCCACUCUUUUUUUUAAUACCGUUCCAUGCGUGUUAUCACUGAUUGUAAAAGUUACAUAUUUACCACUGAUUGUAAAAGUUACAUAUUUACCACACUGGAAGCUUAUUCAUUGGAAUCAAAACCAAUGUUAAAUGUCCAAAAUAAGUGGUGUAAAUCCCCUUUUGAUUCAUAGGAAUCAAAACCAAUGUUAAAUCUGCAAAAUAAGUGGGGUAAAUUCUCUUUUUCCCCUAUUGCUGAUAGGAGUUAUGUUUCGAAAUCAUUUGUAACGGUUAAGAAAUGUGGUUGGACCUAACUCAACCCUACAAAACCGGCUUGUAGGGUGAGGAUUGCCCCCACUUAUAAGGACAUGUUCAGGCCAUAUAUUGUCCGAUGUGGGACUCUUAACACACCCCCUCACGCCCAGGAUUAGACAACUGGAGCGUGGAAAUAAAUGGCGGGUGGCCAUAUAACGGAAACCAUAGAAGAUGGUCCACCGGAUCUUGAACGAGGCUCUUGAUACCAUGUUAAGACGUGUGGUUGGGCCUAACUCAACCCUACAAAACCGGCUUGUAGGGUGAGGAUUGCCCCCACUUAUAAGGACAUGUUCAGGCCAUAUAUUGUCCGAUGUGAGACUCUUAACAGUAACAAAUUCACAUUUGUUCAUGUAUAAAGAUAUGAACUUAGAAUUGAGAGACUUACCUUUUCUUUUCCCUUGCAACGGUUUCUAGCUUCUACCGUUCUUCCCUAUAGCAGAGGUUGCAAUUAAAAUUUUCUCAAACUCAUCACCAUUUGAUGUUUGGUAGAUAGGGAAAAUAGCUUUAUGUUUCAUUUUCUGGAAUCAUUCAAACUAUCCAUUUUCUUAGCUUGUAGUUUCCUGUAGUAUUUCAUAAUAAUUUCCCAGACAUCAUAUACUUCCCUGUAGGGUUUUUGGUCCUCUAUUUAACAUGUUCUAAAUUUUUUGGUCCUUUCAGUUUUGCUGACGAAACACCAAAUAAAAAACCAGAGUUGAUGCAGAUUAUAAUGAAAAAAAUUGAAGGGAUCUAGAAAAUUCUAAAACAUGUUAGUUAAAUAGGGGAACAAAAGGUUGAGUUUUAAAAUGGAGGACUAAAACUCUAAAGAGAAAAAAAAAAAAUAGAGGAUAAAAAAUGCAUUUAAGGCUAAAGGUUAACAUAUAUCUCCUCCAUUUCAAAUUAAUAGUUAAUUUCUGCAUAGUUAUAUUGGGCCUGAAACUCAUUAAAGCAAAACAAGCCCAAUCUUUUGAAUAGUCCAAUGGGCUAAUCCUGCACACGCUACCCAAAAUAAUAUAGAGAGUUUCUCAACCCACCCCCUCAAUAUAGUUUCAGUUGGAAAGCUAAGUAUGCAUUAUAACCAAUGUCAGUUAAACUUAUCUAACCGAUCCCUGAAAUAAUAUGCUCAAAAAUUGAAGGGUAAGAAGUUAUUAUAUGAAAAACUAGUCCUUCAUUUAUUCAUUCUAGUUUUAAAGAACACCAAACACACAUCAGUUAUUUUUCUUACACAAAUUCUUAUUAUAAAAUGCGACAAUAAAAUAGCAUAGAUUAAGAACCAAAUAAAAAUCUCAAUCUUCCUUCUUAUAGUCACCAGCAGUGUAAGGAGUGAAUGCCUCUUUAAUCAAGUUCUUCUUCCUCCAAGUAUGCCAACCCAAAUCCUCACAAAUUUCAUCAUUAUGGUUGAUACCAAAAGUUGUGAUGCAGUUCCUUU
Vicia villosa (hairy vetch) is the source of this 2264-nucleotide long non-coding RNA. RefSeq lists it as uncharacterized. Lineage: Eukaryota; Viridiplantae; Streptophyta; Magnoliopsida; Fabales; Fabaceae. The record is from RefSeq and is a predicted model, not a curated record. The transcript is spliced from 2 exons.